Taeniopygia guttata (zebra finch) is the source of this 5556-nucleotide long non-coding RNA. Lineage: Eukaryota; Metazoa; Chordata; Aves; Passeriformes; Estrildidae. The record is from Ensembl.
GCGGGGACAGCGGGCCCGGCGGGCGGGGACAGCGGACCCGGCGGGCGGUCAGCGCAGCCCGUACGAAGAAACUCCAGUAAAAGAGUAAUGCGUUUUACCCGGGUCUUAGGCUGCUGCAGAGUUGUGCUCCAAGUGUAUGGCUGAAGGGGGCUGCUGGCGAGACUGUCACAGUCUGUAAUCACACUGGCCUCCGGAGGAAAGACGCUCUUUGGUCGCUGCAGCAGGAGAGCCCCUGCCCUGCGUGAGGCAGUGUGGAAAGCGCCAUCCCCUCGGGGAGUCCCGCCGCCCUGCGGAAACCGCUCCAGGAGCUGCACAAGGGCACCGCGAGUGAAAUCCAUCCUGGCCGGGACAGGGCCCUCCCCUUCCCGACAGCAUCGCCAACCCAUGUGCGAGUAACUAGCGGGGGUACCGAGAGGGUCUGGGCGAGGACCUGUGUGUCACCUGCGCCAGGGCCGUGGCAGAUGUCCCUCUCCAUCGCUGCCACCCUUUGGGCAAGUGCUGAGCAGGAGGGCCAGAGACCGACAGGGCUGCAAUGACAUUUUGUCCAGCCACACCCAUGUUGGGAGUUUCACGCGGGGCCGAUCCAGGUGUCAGUGUGGCAGGAGGUAAUGCAUCCUCAGCGAUGAGAGUGGCUGGGCUCAGCUGCAGGGACUUACCUUGUCCAAAGAGAGCGAGGAGAGCCAGCGCACCACAAGCAGUUUCUCACUGGGCUGAUUCCAGCUAGAGGCAGCAACCCACCCUUCUGUGAAAGGAGUGUUGGCUGUAACAAAUCUAUAUUGCUUAUUUGAGGAGUCUGCUGCAGAAAGCUUUUUCUGGUUUUCCUUUGCCUAUUGGAACCACAAAUCUUCAUUUUAUGUAACCUGUCACAAGAUGACUUUUGACUUCCCCUUUGUAGGCCCUUGCUUGUUUCUUGCUGUUGCUUAAGAGCUCAGAAUAAAAACCAUUCUUUUUCCUACUCAGCAGCUGUGUUCCCUGAGAACAGUUCAGGGCUCCGCCACUUUCUGCUGAGCCAAACUGUAGCACCGGCUUCAGUGCAGCUAUGGGUACAUUAGGAGUGGUCUGGCUUCACAGCACAUGAAGACUAAAGGAGAAAGUUACAAUAGCAAAGAAUAUAGUAACAGUUAUAACAGUUAUGAAUGAAUUAUGAUAAUGAGAAGUGAGGAAGGAGGGAAGAAGGUAGACCUGGUUUUGUACUAACUUCCCACUGUCCAAUGAUAACUCCUGUGUGUAAAUCUUGUAACUAAAGGAAAUGAGAAAACUGACUGGUUUAGUACAAGCAGACAAGAUGGAUCCAGUUUAUGCAUACGAUGGGAUGUGUGUGCUCCAAUGAAACAAAACCUAGGAAGAGUUACAAAACAUAGCACAGACAUGAGUUACCGCCUCGUGAUAGACUGCCCAGUAGACUGCUGAGAACAGAAACAGAAAAACCAGCUCAGAUCCUUCAUAAAACUAUUGGCAUCAGUGUAUAAAUCAAGAUAAUGAUGAUCAGUGGUGACGAUCAUUUGUGAGUUCUGUCUUAGUAUAUGGACUUGCUCUCCCAAAAGUCCAAGAAGAAGGCAAAGAUGGAGCAGGAAUAACAGUCUUGUUAAAGGGAAGGUGUUUUAAAGUCCUGCCUAGUGAAGCUGUUUUUAGCUCAUCUUGCAAGUAGGGUUUUUAUAUUGUAACAACUAAUCUUUAUGGUUAAAUUUCUUCAAUCUGCAGUUACCACAAAAGGGCUAGUAGCAAAAGAAAUAAAAUAAGCACAAUAGCAAAGAGAAAUUAUCUUUUUUGAGAUUGAGCUGAAACGUCAAAGACUUAGGGUCUACAGUGCGCUGGUAAGAUACACCGUUGUGUGAACUUUCCCUCCCAGAGGCAUCCAUCCCUAUUAUCACAGCCUGGUGAUGGUUCUGUGUCAACUCUGCAUCUGCAUCAGUAACUCAUUCUGUUCAGCCAUCUGUUCCACAGACAUCAAACUGUUAAGAAGCCCCAGUAUGGCACAAUCUAGUCCAGUAACACAGAAACAGAAAAGAAAAGAUCUCAUUACCAUUUGAAUUCACAGGCUCUCCUCUGAUACACAUACAAUAUUUUCUUAUAUUGACAUGAACAUGGUAAUUUGCAUUCCACCGUGGUUUCUUUGCUACCCUCUAGACUUCCACCCCUGCCUGGAAAGCUGGCAUCCCUCUAAAGAUGUGCCAAGCCGAACGCUGGAGGUCUUUUUUUUGAGCCCAGUUGCAUCUUCUCAUGCACAGAGGUAUUUGACACAUGGUCCAGAAUACUUUAAGCAGCAGGAGGGAAAUGGAGAACUUAUAGAGAUAUUAUGGAUGUUACAGAGAAAGAAAUGAGGAAGGUUCCUCCUUGGUACCACGUUUGCUCAGCUGUCCCUGUCCUGUUAUAGAUGAGUUCCAGGGAUCACUCUUGUAACAAGUACAGCUCUCCUGCAGUCUCCAACCACAGAGAGGAAAUCCCUCUGCUCCUCUGAAUUCCAUCAGACACACACAAAGCCCUGAAGCUCUAUUUGCAGAACAGCCAAUGAUUCACAGAAGCAAUAUGCACUUUUGGAAGACCUGUCAGGAAAAAAAGACCAAAAUCUUUAUUUUCAUCCAUUUCUUUCUAUGAACAAAUUCUGCUGGUUGCCUGGAGAGGUCAUGGAGUUUCUACCUUUGGAGAUAUUCAGAAGCCAUCUGUACACAUCCAGGGCAACUGGCUCUAAGUCACCCUGCUUGAUAUGGGGGGCUGGAGCAGAUGACUUCCAAAGAGACCUUUCAGCUUUGACCAUUCUGUGACUCUGUGAAUAAUAGGCAUAAUUUAAAUUUAAUUUAAACUAAAAGGUAAUGAUUGCUUUUUCCUCAGUUUAUGCUGGUUUGCAGUUUUUUACUGUAUUGAAAAUAUGUUCAACUUUCUCUUGCUUAUUUGUUGCAUUUUUGCUUCCCUACUUAGUUUUCUUAGAUAUCAUAUCUCAGAAUGCCACAAAAAUAAUUCUCUGAUGACAUUCUUGACCCAACUAAAAUUGUAGAACAUCUAGAAAUCUUUUUUUUUUUUUUUCUAUACUGCAGCAGCAUUUCAGGACCAAAAGGGCUGAGGAGUCUGGCCCAACUAUAUAGCAAAACUCCCCUGGAAAAUAGCUUAUUUCCCAAGCUGAUCACAGGAUGUGUUAACAGCUUCAACAGUAAUUCAGAUUCUCAAGGAAACUGACCUCAAGAUUAAAUAAAAAGUUUUGCAUUUCCUAAGUUGAGUGUUUUAAAUUACUACAAUACUUUGCAAUAUCUUAAAAUUUUGCAAGACUGCCUCUCAUUACCAACCGUUACCCUGCAAGUUUCACUGAAAAAAUCCUGAUUAAAGGACUUUGUUUUGUGGAAGUGUGACACUGACAAAAGCCUUGAAUUAUGGGCCCUGUGGUUUAAAGACUUUAUUUAGAUAAAUCCUGUUGCAAUGAAAAAUACCUACAAAAAAAGCAAAUAAUUUGCCCAAUCAUUGUAAUUCAGACUUUUUACAGAAAUGGGUACAAAUCAGAAGAGGUUCCCUUCUUAUGUUAAUUGGAGCCAACUUUUGAGCUGUACUCAUUCCAACUCUUAUUGCAGUCAGUGGCUCUACCUAAAAUGUAGUCAGUACAGAUUUUGCCCAUGGAGUGAUGAUAUUCAGCUACCUUUUAUGGCACAUUUUGAGGCACAGUAUUUUUGCUUGUUUUCUAACAUUAAUCUCCACUCAUCAAUAAAAUGAAUAAACACAAAAAGAAUGGAGAGACCUGGCAGCCAUUUCUAAAGGCAGUUAGUGAAACUAGGAGCUAAAAGCAAACCUUUGAUAAGAAACAAAACAUGCUGAUUUAAAAGAAUGUUUAAUAUAAUGGUAUAUUUCCUGUAAUUCAUAAUCCCUACUUCCUUGCAGCUAAAAUAUUUCUUUCUCUUUUUAAAUUGUCAUUCUCCCUUCUGAAAGAAGAUACCUUGUAUCAUUAUUUCCUUCUAAUUAAAAUCAGAAGCAGCCCAGAAUCAAGAGAUUUCUGCAAGAGUAAGAGAACAGAACACUACAGAAAGCUUUGGAUAUGGGAUCCAGAGGCUACCUCAAAUAACCUAAUUGUAGACCUUCAAAAUAAGAUUGUUUUUUAGGGUUAUAAUCAUGCAUGCAUCAUUUCUUCAAGCUGAGUAUUGCCAGCACUGAAGGUUUUUCAGACUGAAGCCAUUAGAAACAUUUUGUUUGUACCAAGAUAAUAAUGUCCCCUUAUUUGUCUUUUAAAUUUUUCAGUAGUCUAAAUUCCCUUAAAUCUCCUUAUCACAGUCUUAGUUCUGAUGGCUUUGGUGUUAGGGACAUAGGGUUCACAAAACUAAACUGCUUAGGCUGAUUUCCUGGUUUAAAUCCUACAGUUUAUCCACCCCAAAAAAGAUGAACUUGUUGCUUUUAACUACCACCACCCACUUCAACUGGGAGGGCACAGAGCAUUUCAUGGUGUUUUUUAGUUAGGCACAAUUCCCUUAAGGAAAGGCACAUUCCCCUGCACCAAAGAGGGCAGGAGUCUCACCUCCCCUUAGCGAUCAGAAAGAUAGGUGUUGGGUUUAGAAAGACAUGGAUACUUACAGAAUGAGUCAUCUGGCCUUAAAACAAGAUGAUUAAAAGCAGUAGUGUGACUAAUUCUCAGGAAGUGCCUAGCCUCAAGUAACCAUGGAGGGAAAACAGAUUGUUUUGGAGUAGCUCUCUAAGUUUCAGACAGCUUGAAUUUGGGAAAAUUGAACUCUCCAUAGCGCCUUUCUACUACGGGUGUCUUGCAGCACAGUGACAUAAGCAGACAGCUCCUAUCAGACAAGGAUCUGCAACUACAGAAAACAUUUUGGAGAUGCCUCUGCCUGAUGAAACCGGUGUUUGUUAGCAUCAUAGGGACUGACCAGCUCCUGAGUGUACAGCAAGCACAUUUGCAGAACCAUGGCAAAUUCUGCGUUAACUUGUGUAUCUGCUGUGCUGGAACACAUCUUAGAGAUAUAUUCUUGCUCCUUUAUCCAUCAAAAUGCUUAUUUAACUCAUAAUUAUAUUUAUUUGUAUUUUCAAAACACAAAUGGGGAAACUGAGUUUUAGGGAAGAAAAGUUUGCAUUUUUCUGCAUUUCAGUUAUUUUUAUGCCUUUCCAAAGCCUAUUUUAAUUAAUUAGGAUUAUCAUAUAUUUCCAAGGCAAGAAGAGAGAUCUAGCCUCUAACUCAGUGGACUUCAACAGAGCUAGGGGGAACCUGGCUGUCCAGAUCAAUUUUUUCGUAUGUUUGCCCAUGGAUUCAGCUUUUGCAGUUACAGGCUUUCAGAUACUAUACAGAUCUCCAGUGAUAUUGUUUCCUAUUGGCAGUAAUUUGCUCAAUUUCAAUGUUCUGAAUGUCUGAGCUCCUACAAAUAUACUGCAGGAGUCCUUAUUAGGUUUCUUUUGCUGUCAAGUAAAAUGCUUGAACUCAAUUAAUCUUGUUAAUUUAGUUUAUAACUAUAAUUUUACAUAUUUAUUGCAAUGGAUAAAUUCAGCAAUAACUCACAUAAACUUAAUAUUUUUCAAGAACAAUGUGUAUUUUCCUUUCCACUGAAAGACUGAACAACUAAAUAAAAAUCAAUUUCCAAA